This 2889-nucleotide ribosomal RNA is filed under the name Klebsiella pneumoniae. Its description in RNAcentral is "bacterial LSU rRNA". It matches the Rfam family "Bacterial large subunit ribosomal RNA". Lineage: Bacteria; Pseudomonadati; Pseudomonadota; Gammaproteobacteria; Enterobacterales; Enterobacteriaceae. The record is from RNAcentral.
ACUAAGCGUACACGGUGGAUGCCCUGGCAGUCAGAGGCGAUGAAGGACGUGCUAAUCUGCGAAAAGCGUCGGUAAGGUGAUAUGAACCGUUANCCGGCGAUGUCCGAAUGGGGAAACCCAGUGCAAUUCGUUGCACUAUCGUUAACUGAAUACAUAGGUUAACGAGGCGAACCGGGGGAACUGAAACAUCUAAGUACCCCGAGGAAAAGAAAUCAACCGAGAUUCCCCCAGUAGCGGCGAGCGAACGGGGAGCAGCCCAGAGUCUGAAUCAGCUUGUGUGUUAGUGGAACGGUCUGGAAAGUCCGACGGUACAGGGUGAUAGUCCCGUACACCAAAAUGCACAGGUUGUGAACUCGAAGAGUAGGGCGGGACACGUGGUAUCCUGUCUGAAUAUGGGGGGACCAUCCUCCAAGGCUAAAUACUCCUGACUGACCGAUAGUGAACCAGUACCGUGAGGGAAAGGCGAAAAGAACCCCGGCGAGGGGAGUGAAAAAGAACCUGAAACCGUGUACGUACAAGCAGUGGGAGCACCUUCGGGUGUGACUGCGUACCUUUUGUAUAAUGGGUCAGCGACUUAUAUUCUGUAGCAAGGUUAACCGUAUAGGGGAGCCGCAGGGAAACCGAGUCUUAACUGGGCGUUAAGUUGCAGGGUAUAGACCCGAAACCCGGUGAUCUAGCCAUGGGCAGGUUGAAGGUUGGGUAACACUAACUGGAGGACCGAACCGACUAAUGUUGAAAAAUUAGCGGAUGACUUGUGGCUGGGGGUGAAAGGCCAAUCAAACCGGGAGAUAGCUGGUUCUCCCCGAAAGCUAUUUAGGUAGCGCCUCGUGAACUCAUCUUCGGGGGUAGAGCACUGUUUCGGCUAGGGGGUCAUCCCGACUUACCAACCCGAUGCAAACUACGAAUACCGAAGAAUGUUAUCACGGGAGACACACGGCGGGUGCUAACGUCCGUCGUGAAGAGGGAAACAACCCAGACCGCCAGCUAAGGUCCCAAAGUCAUGGUUAAGUGGGAAACGAUGUGGGAAGGCACAGACAGCCAGGAUGUUGGCUUAGAAGCAGCCAUCAUUUAAAGAAAGCGUAAUAGCUCACUGGUCGAGUCGGCCUGCGCGGAAGAUGUAACGGGGCUAAACCAUGCACCGAAGCUGCGGCAGCGACACUAUGUGUUGUUGGGUAGGGGAGCGUUCUGUAAGCCUGCGAAGGUGUGCUGUGAGGCAUGCUGGAGGUAUCAGAAGUGCGAAUGCUGACAUAAGUAACGAUAAAGCGGGUGAAAAGCCCGCUCGCCGGAAGACCAAGGGUUCCUGUCCAACGUUAAUCGGGGCAGGGUGAGUCGACCCCUAAGGCGAGGCCGAAAGGCGUAGUCGAUGGGAAACAGGUUAAUAUUCCUGUACUUGGUGUUACUGCGAAGGGGGGACGGAGAAGGCUAUGUUAGCCGGGCGACGGUUGUCCCGGUUUAAGCAUGUAGGCUGGUUAUCCAGGCAAAUCCGGAUAAUCAAGGCUGAGGUGUGAUGACGAGGCACUACGGUGCUGAAGUAACAAAUGCCCUGCUUCCAGGAAAAGCCUCUAAGCAUCAGGUAACAUCAAAUCGUACCCCAAACCGACACAGGUGGUCAGGUAGAGAAUACCAAGGCGCUUGAGAGAACUCGGGUGAAGGAACUAGGCAAAAUGGUGCCGUAACUUCGGGAGAAGGCACGCUGGUGUGUAGGUGAAGUCCCUGCGGAUGGAGCUGAGACCAGUCGAAGAUACCAGCUGGCUGCAACUGUUUAUUAAAAACACAGCACUGUGCAAACACGAAAGUGGACGUAUACGGUGUGACGCCUGCCCGGUGCCGGAAGGUUAAUUGAUGGGGUUAUCCGUAAGGAGAAGCUCUUGAUCGAAGCCCCGGUAAACGGCGGCCGUAACUAUAACGGUCCUAAGGUAGCGAAAUUCCUUGUCGGGUAAGUUCCGACCUGCACGAAUGGCGUAAUGAUGGCCAGGCUGUCUCCACCCGAGACUCAGUGAAAUUGAACUCGCUGUGAAGAUGCAGUGUACCCGCGGCAAGACGGAAAGACCCCGUGAACCUUUACUAUAGCUUGACACUGAACAUUGAGCCUUGAUGUGUAGGAUAGGUGGGAGGCUUUGAAGCGUGGACGCCAGUCUGCGUGGAGCCAACCUUGAAAUACCACCCUUUAAUGUUUGAUGUUCUAACGUUGGCCCCUGACCGGGGUUGCGGACAGUGUCUGGUGGGUAGUUUGACUGGGGCGGUCUCCUCCCAAAGCGUAACGGAGGAGCACGAAGGUUAGCUAAUCCUGGUCGGACAUCAGGAGGUUAGUGCAAUGGCAUAAGCUAGCUUGACUGCGAGCGUGACGGCGCGAGCAGGUGCGAAAGCAGGUCAUAGUGAUCCGGUGGUUCUGAAUGGAAGGGCCAUCGCUCAACGGAUAAAAGGUACUCCGGGGAUAACAGGCUGAUACCGCCCAAGAGUUCAUAUCGACGGCGGUGUUUGGCACCUCGAUGUCGGCUCAUCACAUCCUGGGGCUGAAGUAGGUCCCAAGGGUAUGGCUGUUCGCCAUUUAAAGUGGUACGCGAGCUGGGUUUAGAACGUCGUGAGACAGUUCGGUCCCUAUCUGCCGUGGGCGCUGGAGAAUUGAGGGGGGCUGCUCCUAGUACGAGAGGACCGGAGUGGACGCAUCACUGGUGUUCGGGUUGUCAUGCCAAUGGCACUGCCCGGUAGCUAAAUGCGGAAGAGAUAAGUGCUGAAAGCAUCUAAGCACGAAACUUGCCCCGAGAUGAGUUCUCCCUGAGACUUUAAGUCUCCUGAAGGAACGUUGAAGACGACGACGUUGAUAGGCCGGGUGUGUAAGCGCAGCGAUGCGUUGAGCUAACCGGUACUAAUGAACCGUGAGGCUUAACC